GUCAAGAGGGAAACAGCCCGGACCGUCCGGCCAAGGCCCCGAAACUAUGCUAAUUGUGAAAUGAAGUGUGGAUGCACAGACAGCCAGGAGGUUGGCUCAGAAGCAGCCAUUCCUUAAAAGAGUGCGUAACAGCUCACUGGUCGAGCAUCCGCGCGCAGACAAUGUAACGGGGCUAAGCAUAGCACCGAAGCCGUGGAUUCGCAUAUCAUUUGAUACGAUGGUAGGGGAACCUUUCCGUUAACUCAAGAAGGAAUACCCGCGAGGGGCUUUGGAGGAAAAGGAAGAGAGAAUGCAGGCAUAAGUAACGAAAAGACGGGUGGGAUUCCCGUCCGCCGAAAACCAAAGGUUUUCAGGGUAAAGGCAAUCUGCCCUGGGUAAGUCGGCCCCUAAGGCCAGGUCGAAAGCCGUAGCCGAUGGGAAAUCGGUUUAUAAUCCGAUGCUUUCCCAUGUUUCGAGGACAGGACGCAUGAGGUGAAACCCGGCCGGAGAACGGUUGUUCCGGUCAAAGCGCCGAGGCUGAUCAAGGCCGCAGGCAAAUCCGCCGUCUGAGGUGAGGCGUUACAGCGAGCGCAGAGAAAAUGUCAACGCAGCUCGCACGUCCUCGGGGCGCCGGAAAACACUGUCUAGCGCUGCGCGGUGGAGACCACCCCGUACCCAGACACGUGUGUGUGGGAUGAAAAAUCAGGCGCUCACGAGCCACCUCGUUUUAGAGAACUCCGCAAUGUGCACGUGUCUUUUCGGAAAAUGUGUGUCUCGUUUUGUAUAAUAUUAAGAGCGGCAAAGCGCGCGCGGCGCGAGUGUUUAAAAACACAC
Molecule: ribosomal RNA, 813 nt
Filed under: uncultured Treponema sp.
Lineage: Bacteria; Pseudomonadati; Spirochaetota; Spirochaetia; Treponematales; Treponemataceae
Description: partial 23S ribosomal RNA
Rfam family: Bacterial large subunit ribosomal RNA
Source: RNAcentral